AAUUGACGAGGUGGGAACAGCUACCCCACACGCCCGGCAACGGGUAAUUAGGUCUUUCGAGGCUGAAGAGAUGCAGGUUGGCAACUGCCGUUGUAU
Molecule: non-coding RNA, 96 nt
Filed under: unclassified sequences
Description: skipping-rope RNA
Rfam family: skipping-rope RNA
About the family: Firmicutes, Fusobacteria, AlphaProteobacteria, Spirochaetes.
Source: Rfam by way of RNAcentral